This 187-nucleotide ribosomal RNA is filed under the name uncultured eukaryote. Its description in RNAcentral is "partial large subunit ribosomal RNA". It matches the Rfam family "Eukaryotic large subunit ribosomal RNA", at positions 40 to 227 of the family's 3401-position model. The record is from RNAcentral.
GUAUCAAUAAGCGGAGGAAAAGAAACUAACUAGGAUUGCCUCAGUAACGGCGAGUGAAGCGGCAAGAGCCCAAACUGGAAAUCUUCACGUUUCACGUGACGAAUUGUAAUCUAAAGAUGGUUUGCUCAACUGGAGGAGGCGCAGAAGUGCCUAGAACGGGACGCCAGAGAGGGUGAGAGCCCGUACA